AAGGGAGACCAAACUCAAUCCAAGACCGAAAAGCAAAUAUAGAGGUCUGGAAGGGGUCAUCCCAAGGUCGAGCAGAGAACCAAAAAACAAGUAAGCUCUCAAACUAUGAAAGGUUCGGAAAUGGGCUAUUAGCUCAGGUGGUUAGAGCGCACCCCUGAUAAGGGUGAGGUCCCUGGUUCGAGUCCAGGAUGGCCCACAUCUAGACCAAAACCGAAACAAAAAACCAAGUAAAAAUGGAAGUUCCAGCACUACUCGAUAGGAGAGUAAAUGCUGGGGUAAAAUCCAGCCCAGAACCUUGAAAACUGCAUAAGAAACAAGAAAGUGUAGAGAGUCCUGCUUUGCAGGAAUCUUAAAACAAGUUA
RNAcentral lists this transfer RNA (362 nucleotides) under Spirulina sp. 2E4. RNAcentral's name for it is "16S-23S ribosomal RNA intergenic spacer". The stretch from base 123 to 196 matches the Rfam family "tRNA". Lineage: Bacteria; Bacillati; Cyanobacteriota; Cyanophyceae; Spirulinales; Spirulinaceae. The record is from RNAcentral.